CGUGCCUAAUACAUGCAAGUUGAACGCUUGAUUUCACCGAAGCUUGCUUCACCGAAAAUCAAGAGUAGCGAACGGGUGAGUAACGCGUGGGUAACCUACCUAUCAGCGGGGGAUAACUAUUGGAAACGAUAGCUAAUACCGCAUAACAAUGUUGGAUGCAUAUUCGACAUUUGAAAGUACCAACUGGUACACUGAGAGAUGGACCCGCGUUGUAUUAGCUAGUUGGUAGUGUAAUGGACUACCAAGGCGAUGAUACAUAGCCGACCUGAGAGGGUGAUCGGCCACAUUGGGACUGAGACACGGCCCAAACUCCUACGGGAGGCAGCAGUAGGGAAUCUUCGGCAAUGGACGAAAGUCUGACCGAGCAACGCCGCGUGAGUGAAGAAGGUUUUCGGAUCGUAAAACUCUGUUGUUAGAGAAGAACGUUGCAUAGAGUGGAAAAUUAUGCAAGUGACGGUAUCUAACCAGAAAGGGACGGCUAACUACGUG
RNAcentral lists this ribosomal RNA (489 nucleotides) under uncultured bacterium. RNAcentral's name for it is "bacterial SSU rRNA". It matches the Rfam family "Bacterial small subunit ribosomal RNA", at positions 43 to 507 of the family's 1533-position model. The record is from RNAcentral.